Molecule: long non-coding RNA, 11797 nt
Filed under: Arabidopsis lyrata
Lineage: Eukaryota; Viridiplantae; Streptophyta; Magnoliopsida; Brassicales; Brassicaceae
Description: long non-coding RNA (ALYR_LNC001554)
Source: RNAcentral
UUUUUUUUUUGGUUUUAGUGUUAAGAUUUCAUUCCAUGGAGAAAAUUACAAGCUAAGCUACAUAGUACAAAAUUAACCCAUUAUCACAAGAACAAAAGACAGAAUAGAGAAAUUACAACGGAUAAAAAAUGAGAAAAUUAGAAAUAAAUGAUAUCUACUUAAAAAUUUGUCUAUAUAUCUUUUUUUUUGUAGAUUGGUCAAAUAGGUUUUUUAAAAAUAAAAACCCAACUUUACCCUCAUUUUCUCUCAAAAUUAAUAAAAAAUUGAUUUCAAAAAUAAAACUUCCUGAUUUAUUUACAAAAGUUAAAUAAAAAUCUAAAGAAUCAAACCUUCCACUUGAGAAAGAGUCUCUCAAUGACCUAUACCUAAUUAACUAUUUUUUUUUUUCUGUCGUAGAUGAACAUGUCGGGAUAAAAAAAAAAACCCUACCCCACCGCCGUAUCUCUGCCGACUGCGUGUUAUCCGGCAUCGUUGGUCCUCCGGUGUUCAUCUGGGCGACGAUUGAAGAUUGAAUCAAUAGGUUCGUUGCUCUACUCUUUUUUUGUGAUUGAAUUAUGUCUUUUUCUUAUCUCAAGUCACAAUUUUCUGUUACUCGUUUAGAGAUUUGCGUUCAUAUAAACACAAAUUGAAUUUGAGACUUGUAAAUCGAUGUGAAUCUUUUUGUUUUCUCGAUUUAGUUGCAAGUCACAAUUUCAAUUUGCAUGUAGAGUUGUUAAUAUCUUUGAAUUCGUGUAACUCGAUUAGAGGUUUCAAUUUUGUGAGUUUUAAAAUUCCAAAUUUCAAUUGUGUAGAUUGAAUAAGUCUUUCGCUCUUUGAUUCAUGUGAAUGUAUAUGUGUUUGGGUUCGAAUUCAUUGAUUUAGACAGAGUUUUAUGACUGAAAUCAUGUCAUCUUCUUAUAAAACUAGAAGUGAAUAUUUUUGUUCUCUUAUUGAUCUGUUUAGUUCGCUAUUUGUAUGUGUGUGUGUCAUGAGUAGCUCAAGUACGUGUCUUGUUUAUUUUUUUAGUUAUAGGUAUUGUCUCUUGUAAAUCUUCUUCAGCUAAGUCAAUUGUAAAUCUUUUUCAGCUAAAGAAAUCCACAUAUCGUCAAUGAAAAUAUCUUUUAUCUCUUAAUUCAUGUUUAAAUCUUUAUUCAAGUUUGUUUCUGCAUGUUGAAAACAAUCUAGGAAGCACGAGUAAUUAGUUACUUUAAUUUAACAUACAAUUUUUUUGUUUGCUAACUGCAACUAUGCACUAUAAUUAGUCAUAACUCUGAAUGGUUUUAUUUAGAUAUGUUUGCUUUUUAUGUGCAGUCACUGCUAAGGAGUUUCACAAGCGCCUUUUCGUACAUGGUAAAGAUCCUAUCUUAAUUGAGCGAAUGAAGAACUAUCAACCUACAUCAAUCGUCGGAUAUCCUUGAAAUUGAUUGAGAUUAAUUAGCAUUAUGGUUUUUUUUUUUAUCAUCAAAACAGAUUACGUACUAACUAGUCUUGUGACAUGUAGUUUGUAUGACCUUUGUUUUUUUUUUCUUAUUAUUUAGGCGUUUUAUGAAUUUAACUUCGUAACGACGUUGCAGAAAUAACUCCAUUAAACAAUAUAAAUCUACACUAGAUCAAAGAUGAUCAAAUACUGAAAAAUAUAUAUAAAAAAAAUAAGGUACUAAGAUGCCGGCAAUCCACACAGUGCCGGCGUUUGGGGUGUGCAAGUGGAGCAAUUGUACCGGGUCCAAUUUUUUUGGGUAAAUUUAAGGGCCCAAUUUUUUUUUUUUCGUAUAGAAAAAAAUGUAAUUUUUAAAACUUUAAGAUAUAUUUAUUAUAAAAAGCUUAAAUAUUUUAUUUAGUAUGAAAGUGGUUAAUUUUUAAGUUUUUUUUUAACAUGAAAAAGGCCCAAUUUUUUUUUUUUUGUAUGAAAAUAGGCCAAAUUUUAAGAUUUGUACCGGGACUCAAAAUUAAUUGAGCCGGCCCUGAAUCCACAGUUACACUUCUUCAGAACUACAGAAGAUCUACUCACAUUUGAAGUACCCGUGACCAAAUCCAUCUACGCAAAAUCAAUAAAUCCUGAUUGAGACAUUUUAUCGAACAACUUAUGUGCGUCCGUUGAAUCGUCUUUUAAAACCAAAAUAAACACACAAAUAUUUACAAUUACAUGCAUUUAAUAGAUCUAUUUUUGGAAUAAUAAGGGAUCAAACUUUGAUUAAACCUGAUGCAACCUCCCCAAUUUGCUUGAAUCGUCACAAGUAAUCACUGUUUUCAAACCGUUGUGCCAAACGAGUCUUUACUUUUCUCUAUUAGUACUUGUCUUCCUUAUUUUUAGAAUCUCCGGCUUAUGUUAGUAUUUGUUUGUUAGUAAGUUUCUUGGUUCAUGUAUAAUUUGAUGCGUAGACAACGACUUCUACAUCUUGUAGAUUGUAAUCUAAAUAAUAAAUAUUCAUUUAAAACGUAAUCUCGAAAAUAUAUAUUGUUUCCUUUUUUGAAGAUUUACUUUCUAUGUUUAGAGUAUUAUAAAAAUUUCAGAAAACGAAAUCUACAAUAUCGUAGAAUUUACAUUCUAAACGAAGAUUACAAUUUCUAACGAUGGCAGAAGAUGUAGAAAUUAGUAGAACGGCUAUUCUAAAAUAUUUAGAACAUAGAGCAAAGCGUAGAAUGCAUAUUCUAAAUAUUUUAGAUAUAAGAUUUUCGGACUUCUAAAAUUUUCAGAACAGAAAUCUAGUCUAAAAUAUGUAGAACAUGUACAAAAAUGCAGAAUACACACUCUGAGUUACGUAGAAUUCUAGAAAACGUGUUCUAACAAAAUUAGACGAAACUUCAUCUAUCAAAAAUUCAACUUUUUUUUAGCCAAAUCUAAAAAUUUUCACUUCAAAUCACCCCUACUCUUGUAUAUCUACCUGUUUUUCUAAUAAUAUUUUUUUUUUAAAUAUUUAAAAUAGGGUGUAGGGGUAGUUUCGUCCAAAAUGACAAUUUCACCAAAAAGGUAUAUAUGGACAAAUUUUUAAGUAGAUAUCCUUUAUUUCCAAUUUUCCCAAAAAAAAUACUAAAAUAAAGAAAUUACAACAGAUUUCAUUUCUUUUUGCAUCGGUGUUAUUUCUUGCCUCGGUUUGUAGCUCCCAAUCAUGCGUAUCACGACCUGAUUGCAGUCAUUUGAAAAAUUCUUGUUUGAGUCAAACUAGAUUUCGUUGAUUAUCUUUCUCUCAAAAUUCUUUAGUUUCCUACUUAGACCUGACUGAAUUUUCUGAGUUUCGUUUUCGUUUCCCGUGACUUUCACCAAAAAUCCCUAAAAAGGCUAAAGAGUUCACAAUACAUACAAAAAAAAACAAUCAAAGAUUCAAAUGAAUGAAAACUGAACUUAAAACAACUCUAAAAUACGAUAUAAAAAAAAAUCAUUAGCUGUCUAUAUACAUUUUAGAUAGAAAUUGAAAUCCAAAAUUGGUCAUUGCCGAAAUAAAAAUAUAAAUUUUCUUAGCCAUUUUCAAAUUUCUUUCCAUUUUUUUUUAAUACAUUUAUAAUUUGAGUGGGAUUUGAUUAACAUAUCACAAACUAGCCGUUGUAAGCGCAUUUCCGAGGAAGACUAGCCGUUACGCUCUCAUUCCCCUUUUCUUUUUUAUUCUUCUCUCAAUUUUAUUUUUUUCCUUUACAAAAUCAUCAAAACCCUAAGCGUCGAAUUCAAUUUGCUUCCACAGAACAAUAGAUUUUCAAAAUCACAGAUCCAAAUCGCUUCUUCAAUGGCGUCCAAAACAGUGGCUGCUAAAGAUAUCAUCACUUUACACGGAUCUGCUGCCAUCGUCAGCGAAUUCUUCUGUGCGUAUUUUCAAUCUCUCACACUCAAAUUUCGUGUAAUUUCACAUUCAUUCUCUUCGAUUUGAUGCUUUUUCUUCUUCUUCUUCCAGGUUACGCAGCGAACAGGUUAGAAUUGAAUCGGUAUUUCAAAUUCAGUUUCUGGAAAUCUCCGAUUAGAUUGGAUAUUGACUCGUUUUGUUGUUUUGAAAUAUAGUAUCUUGUAUAAUCGAGCAGUUUAUCCAGAGGAAAGUUUUGUGAAAGUGAAGAAAUAUGGACUUCCGAUGUUGCUUAUUGAAGAUGAAUCCGUCAAAUCUUUCAUGUCUAAUCUCACUUCUCAGAUCUCCGGUAAUGUAUUUUUUUUUUAAAGAACAGAACAAUAGAGAUAGGUUUGAGAUAUGAUUCUUUUGUGACUGAUUUUGUUUUUGGUCUAAAGAAUGGCUUGAAGCUGGGAAGUUGCAGAGAGUAGUGUUAGUGAUAAUGAGCAAAGCUACUGGUGAAGUUUUGGAGAGGUGGAAUUUUCGGAUUGAGACUGAUAAUGAAGUUGUUGACAAAGGGUCAGUCUUUUUUUUUUUUGAAAAUUGUUGAAUGUGAUGUUCUUGUUUUCAUCAUCUUUAUGGAACUUUCAGUGUGUCGAGGGAGAAAAGUGAUAAGGAGAUCAUGAGGGAGAUUCAAGCUAUUAUGAGACAGGUUGCUUCAAGCGUUACUUACUUGCCUUGUCUUGAUGAAACAUGUAAGUACCAAAUCAUAGCAACUUUGAGUUACCAUUUCAACACUAGUUUGGGUUUAUUUGGAUUUUCAUUUUUUAUUGUGUUUGUUUAGGUGUGUUUGAUGUAUUGGCGUAUACGGACACGGAUGUGGCUGUUCCAUUCACCUGGAUCGAAAGCGACCCCAAGUUGAUUGCUAAUCCACAGAUGGUUAAGUUACACGGGUUUGAUACCAAGGUAAGGAGGAGGAAGAAACUUGAAACCUCUAUUCCGAUCACUUUGAAAUGUCUUAAGUGUAUUGGUUUUCAUUCUCUGCAGAUUCACAAAGUCGACACGCUCGUCUCAUACAAGAACGACGAGUGGGAUGAAGAAGAGUAACAGAAGUCGGGACACGUAUGCAAUGCUCUUUGUUCAGCUUUCGUUUAUGUCUUUGGGAGUUCUUAAUGUUCUAAAGGCACGUGAAUCCUUUAUUCACCCCUAUGCUUUUUUCUGUUUUGUUCUUUCUGAAUUGUAUGAGAAUUCUGUACCUGUGUUGUGUUGUGUUUCGUUCAAAAGUUAUCAGCUUUUCCAAUGUCCCUGUCCCUUGCAUUGAACAAUCUUGGGUGAAAAAGAGAUUUCUAAAAAGCCAAUCAAAUUUCUCUGAUUCACAAUGGAAUGUCAAAAGAGGUGCAUAUUUACAGUGACCGAUGAAAAUAAAGGUUUUUGGAUAAAAAAAAAGAUCUCUAAAAAGCCAAACAAAAAUCUCUCUGAUUCACAAAGAUGGAAUGUGUAUUUACAGUGACUGAUGAAAAAUAAAGGUUUCUUCUAGCCUUUUGUAGACCCAUUUUCUCAUCUCAUUCCUCGGUAUAAGACACCGGAUUGAAGAUCGUCCAUAUUGUCUAUGUUCCGAAACGCGUCAAUCUCUCUCAGACAUGUCCAUCCUCGUCGAGCCAAGAAAUCUCGGUAAUCUUCUUCGGUGUAGAAUAUCUUCUCCUCUUGAUGGACCGGUAACGGAUCAGAUUCAUCAUAGUGGCACACUCUAACGGCUAUCCCUGAAUUCAAUUGGAUAUUGAGAAACCUCUAACCAGAGAGUAUUCAAUGAAUAGCAGAGAAAGAGUGAAUUUACCUUCAUCAACACGGAGUGUAUAGUUCCCUAAAGGCAUGUCUCGGUCAAGAGAGCGAAUAACCUGUUCUUCAUCUUCUAGCCAAAAAGCUCGUCUUGUUCUUAAUCUAAACGCGGAUCUGAUAGCUUCCUUGAUUGCUUCAGCAGUACCAUCAAUCCCAAAUCUUCUUGUAUAAUCUCCAAAUUUCACUGUUAUGAUCCUCCCAACAAAUGGCUGACCAUCACCCCCUGCUUCAAACAUGAAACCGAGAAUUAGUUGUCAUAUAAGUUCAAAAGCUUGAUGAAAAACAAAAACGCUUGCAAUCGAAGAGGCUAAGUUAUAUAAGCUUUUCUGGUUACUUACCAUUUCCAGCGGUGUCUCUCCAACUCCAAGGAGGAACUCCAUUUGCCGUGACGGGAUCAGCAGCAAUGGGGAGGGGAAGACCAUCAUGAUCAAGCUGCGUUUCAAGAUUUAGCGUUGGCCUGCCAUUAGCUGCACACAGAUACAACUCAUAUAAAGACUACACAACUUCCACAAAUCAAACAAAAUGUCCAAGACAAAAUCGGCUUCACAUUAUCACUAACAUUCUAUAAUUUGGUAUUGAGUUCACUUUUAUUUCACUGAAUAAUAAAGCAAUCAUAAGUGCACAAUUGUUUACCCAAAGCUAGGACCGAUACAACCAUUUCUCUCAAAGUAAUUCCCCAACUAAAAAGGAAUUCAACACCACCAUUUAUAUAUACACACAAGAUUCAAGAAAUGUGAGAUCAAUACCUUCAACAGAUGUAAAUGGAAUACCAGUAUCUUCAAAACCUACAAGAAGAUAAAAAAAUAAAGAUCAAUUUUAGAAGAAAACCCAAAUUUACUAUAAAAAGUCAAUAUAGUUUAACAACCAAAUCAACAACUUUAUAAUUAGCCAUUAAUGGUCAAAAUCCUCUUAACUAGGUUUAGCACUAAAAGAGGAACAACACUAAAGAUCAGUCUUUUUCUUCACAAUCCAAAUCCAAAUCUAAACCAACACCCAUUAACAAAUAUUAUCAAAACCUGCAAAAAAUCCAUCAGAAACCCCAAAAUCAAGCAAAAGACUCUACCUUUAUCAGUAAAUUGCAUAAAGGAAUCAACUUUAGCAGAAGAUGGUGGAGUAGUAGUAGAAGGACUCUUAUACAAGGCCACUUUCUUGUUUCUUUCUGUAAAAAUGUCUUCAAUCUCUUUGUAAUAAGACAUCUUCGUUGAUCCUCCACUUGUUGCUUUAUCAUCAUCUUGAUACUUAGCUUUCUUAAACUCUUUCAAUAUGUUCCUCCACUUGUCCGUACACAUAGUUGGUGAUCGAUCAAACCCUUUCUCUCUCAUUUUGCUCGAAAUCUGUUCCCAAAGAUGUUUGUUAGAUUUAGAUGUGUUGAAAAGAUUGUCCAUUUCUCUCCGUAACGAGAUUAAGCAUCGAGUCUCGUCUUGUGCCCAUGUCUCUGCUCGUUUCUUUGGUGCUUUGAUGAUCUCAUGAUCCUCUCCUCCACUGCUAUCUCCGAGGAUGAUCUGAUGAUGUUGUUGUUGUUGUAUCGGUAGAUCUCCGUUUGAUGAUGUAACAUCGAUCAUCAUGUUCAUGUCCCGUGAAGGAUUGUUAUCGGAAACAAACAUGUUUUCUCCGAGGAACAAGGAGAGAUAGAAGAAGAUGUCAAAGAAAACAACACUUUUUUCUUUUACCAUAUACGCGUGGAAUCAACGCGCUGCUAUAAGAGCGCGUCCCUUUGAUAUUUAGUCAAAGCUUAUUAUCUUAAAUUGUUUGAAUAUAAUAAGACAGACAACAUGGAUCAAGAACAAUCCAAGGUUACAAACUUUAAAUCCAAAGAGUAAUCUUCAUGAUAAUUAUAACAAUAACAAUGUGUCCAACAAAGAUGGAAAUGGAGCAAGUUUUUAUUAUUUUUAAAAAGUUUCUAGAGAUAGUUGAAGAUCAUCUCCAUUGAGCAAAGGUAUAUCACCAACCUGAAAAACCAGUCCUGGAUUCAGUAUUUAAGAAACGUCUAACCAAAGAUUAAUGAUCUAUGAAUAGAGGCAAAUUUACCUUCACCGAAAUGGAGUUUAUGAUCUCGAGUAAGAAACUAGACAACCAAAUGAUUAUCUAGUUUCUUGUCCUAAAUGAUGGUAUCCUUUAGUGGCUUCACAAGUGUAUACCAUCAUCAAAUACAAACACUUCUUGUGUAGUCUCCGAAUCCAAAUUCCAUUUACCACACUCAAUAAACAGACCUAUCCUUCAUCAUCCUUCAUUGACAUUGAGUUUAUGAUCUCGGUCAAGAAAGGAGGCCAACAAAUUUCUUCAUCUUUUCGAUCAAAUGAUCAUCUGCUUCUCAACCUAUAUGCAACCCUGAUGGCUUCAGCAGUGUACCACCAAUGCCCAAACUCUUCUUACUAUACGUAGUCUCUGAAUCCAAACUCAAACCACUAAAACAGCCGACAAAUCCCAUCACUUGCUGUCAAACAUACUACUCAGCCUCUUUCUUGGGUUUUCCUUUUGCACAAUUCACAACAUCAUCUGUUUCUCAAACAGCUUCAACAGUACCAUUACUAGUCCUCCCCCACCAAACUACCCUGCUUCUUUCUUGGAUAUUUCUAUUCCUUAUUCUUCUUUUUUUUUUUUUGUCUUUUCUUUGUCAAACCAAAUAAGUAAUACUAAUAUGUAUACAUAUGACAACUACACCCACGGGAAGAUAUAGUUCCCACAAACUAAAGCCUAACCAUGGAGACUGAACCAUUCAAUCAUAUAGAAAAGAAAGGCUCAGAUGGAAUUUUAUACCUAGAGAGUUAACUUAGGGGCCGGCUUCGAACAAACAGCACACAAAAACUCUAGACAAAACGUUUCUUCGUAUUCGCUGUCAUUGAUGCACCGACCACAGUGAUAACACCUCUGUAUGCAAAGAGAACAAGCACGGCAUUCCUCAGAACCUUUCUUUUUCCCUUUACAAUCUUCUGCUGGACAGUCAUACACAAGCCUAGAAUUUUGACACUUUGGGCACAUCUCAAUAUCUAGCGCCCGGUCAUCAUCACAGGACACACAUGCAUCUCCUCUAUGGUAAAAACGCGGCUUCUGAAUAGUCUGCUCGACUUUAUUGUCUAUGUUCAACAAGUCAAACAAUUCAUCGUAAUGAUCUUUAGUAACUCCAAAGAGGCCACCAAUUUCUAAAUGCUUCACUUGAAGCUUUCCCGCAUACUUCAGAUCCCUCAAGAUGCUCAAAAUACCAUCAAUAGUGAUCCUUGUGCAUCCAGGCACACCAAGCUGCCAACCACAGAACAACAUUAGAUUUAAAUAAAAUCCCACAAAUCAAUUCAACCACGAAGCACAUCUAUAACAGCUUAUUAGUAAUCCAGAUAAACUUGAGUAAAUAAAGGAAAAAAGCUCACCUUGACUACUUGUGGGUUGCGCUCCAACACCCGCUUAAGACAAUCAUCAGUAAUUCUACAGCAAUCUACGAGCCUCAAACACUGCAUAGUACCCUGAGCCCUCUCAGUUAAAUGCAGCAGAGCCUCUUCCGUAAUCUUCUCAUUCAACGGUUGACAAAUGUGGAUAUGCUUCCACAAUAACGAGUCAUUACAAACAGUAGUAUGCAGAGACUUGCAAACCAUACUAACUGAAAGAAGAUCCUUCACUCCCAAGUGAUAAAGACAAAAACCAAACGCUGGAUGAAUAUUUGAAUCCUCUCCUCCAUUACUGCAGCGAUCACUACUUCCUACAACUCCACCAUUCCUCGCAUCCUCGAGGCUCAAUACCUCAUCAACACUACUAGCAGAUAUGAAAGCACCGUGACAAGAUCCAUCACCAUCAAAUGCUCCUCCAAACACAUUAUUGUCCUCACUACUCUCCGGGAAUUUACAUGCGGAAAACAAAGACCCAUCAAAUGCCCCACCAAACCCAUACAACGACUCCGAUCCAUUACUGUACCCACUACUCUGAAACUGCAUUGCAUUGUUCCAAAUGAAACUCAAUCCAGCAAAGAGCUGCUGAUGGUUUCCAUCACCAAUCCAAAUGUCAUCACUUCUUCUUCCAUAUUGGUUAUUAUAAUCCAAAUCCUCAAGCCAUCCAGUAAUGGCCGUGAAAGUAUUGUUGAUAUCCAUACCAAACGGAUCAGAUGGCAAAACAUCAAGUAUGUCAACAGAAGAAGAAUCUCCAUUACUCUUCCUUCCAUUAUCAAAACUUGAACACCAAUUCCCAUUGGCUAUCUUCAUUGGUUCCUCAGAUAGAUGAGAAGCAAAGGGUCUAUGUGAAAAAUUUAAAGCCAUUUCUAUUAAAUCUCUAUAUACACUUUAAACCUAAAAAAAAUCCCUCUUUUGUACACAAUCCCUGAAAAAAAACUCAAAACCCCCCUAAGAAGAUAGAUCAGAUCCGAAAAAAACUAAAGGUUAUUUUUUUUGGGUUAUCGAAAGGCGAUAGAUCUAUGGACAGAAAAAAAGGAAACUCUUGAUUUCAGAUGGCAACAAAAAAAUACUAGGCACCAGAAAUUUUCAGAGCUUCCUUGGAACCCUAAAAAACCUAGAGAAAAGAAAUUCGAAAUUGAGACGUAUUAACAACCAAAUUGGGUAACACAAAAAGAAUGAAUUGAAUAAAACUGAUUUUUUCCCUUUUUUUUUUGUUUUCUGUUUACUCUUCUUCUUCCUCAAAACAAAACUAGGGUUUUCAGAAAUUUCGAAACCUAAUCCUAAACAUUAUCAAGAAGAAGAAAGAAAGAUAUGAAUUUUGAAUCUGUGGGAUUGAAUUGAAGAAAUUGAAUCAAAGACACCUCUGUUAUUUCCUCACCCACGAAGAAGAACAACAACGCGAUCAACGGGAAAACCAAACCGAACCCUCGCCGUGAAACUAAACAAGAUCUCCUUUUUUGAGGGAAAUCUUCAGACUUUCGAAUUGGGAAUCAAACAAUUCUCACUUGGGAUUCAAAGAAGAGAGAAAGAUGGAGAAAGAGAGAGAGAGAGAACAGGUUGGUGAAUUUCGUCGACCGAGUCAAGAGAGAAAAUGAUGGAAAGGACGAGAAAAUUGUGCGAAAAAUCUCAACUUUUUUUUUAUUUUUAUUUUAGGGGUUGAGAUUUUACGUGGGAGAGAAAUAAAUAUAAAACUGGAGACAAAAUAAAUUUAAAAACUUAAAUACAAUAAAAUGGAAUGAGAUAAGAUUAGGGUAACGGUGAAAUUGUCAAAGUCUUUGGAAUAAUGGACACGUGUCAUUUGUUUAGUUCUUUGUCAUUCUUUCCAUAUGCCAACAAACUAGGGAUAUCUUAUUUUCUUGUUCGUUUUUUUAAAUCUAUUAUCCAAUAAGAGAUAUUUGAGUUUUUUUUUUUUUUUUGUCGGCCAUUUAGAUUCAUUGAUAUAGCCCAAAUGGGCAAAUUACAGAAAGUCCAGUAUACAGAAGAUUACAGCGAAAAUAAAGCUUAGGUCCUAACUAAAUCUUAAUUAAAGAAAAUAAAAUAUUGAAGCACAAAAGAUUUAGAAAUUGACACGUGUGGGAUAUGUGAUCUUCUCGAAGCUACGCGUCAAGCCGUGGAGUAGCAUCGUCAACGUCGCCGGACAUCGCUGGAUCGCCGAUUAGUCACCGCCGAUCAGCUCUGAAGCGAUGAGAAUCCUCUUGCUUUCUGCCGAUCUCAAUUCCUAGCCAAACGUCAAGAAAUCUCCGGAUCGAAUGAGAAAAAAUAGCUUCAAAUUCAUUCGAGCAUCACUAUCUUCGGGGAAGCUCCAUCACUAGCCACACCCAACUUGAUGUGGUCAGAUCUUUGCUCUUUCUUCUUUGAGCAAAAGGAAUUGAUGAAGAUAUUACUCCUCGAAAAGAUUGGAAGGAUCGGAGAGAAUUUUGAAGAAAAGCGGAGAUAAUAACGGGCUUAGAGAAAAGAUAUCAAAUCUCGCUAGUGCGAGAAGCAAAACCCGGACAGAGCCGGUACUGAGAAUUCCGACAAAAGCCGGAAAUUAUUUAGUUCGUUCAAAAAACGAAAAUAUGUACAAUUCCGGUGAAGUCCGAAAUCAAAACCGAAAGAAGACUUCUCCACUCUGAAAGAUUUAAGAUGGAUAAGAGAAGAGAAGCUUUUUAGAAUUUCCGGUUAAUAAUUCCGGUACACCGGAAAUCGCCUUCUCUCUGAGAGAGAAAGCUCCCAUUCUUUUUAUUUUAUUCUCUCUAUUUGAGUUAAUUAUAUUAGGAUGAUAUUCAACUACUUAUAUAUAAAAUACAACCAAUUACGAUAAACAAUGUAUACAAAUAAUAAUUUUACGCUGCAAUUUUUUUUAUAAUAUUCGGAUUUCCA